This 68-nucleotide transfer RNA is filed under the name Hackeriella veitchi. Its description in RNAcentral is "tRNA-Asn". The record is from RNAcentral. Lineage: Eukaryota; Metazoa; Arthropoda; Insecta; Hemiptera; Peloridiidae.
UUAGUUGAAGCCAAACAGAGAGGCACCUUAUUGUUAAUGAAGUAAAUGAUUUAAUUAAUCCAAUUAAA